CAACUUCCAGAGAGCAUUAGGCGAGUUCCUUCAUCCCCGGGCUCCCUUUAUUGGUUCCUGCAGACUCCAGAAGAAUAUGAACGUUCUUCCCACAGGAGGACGGUCACCCCGCAUGAAUUCCAAGACUCCUCACAAGUGGAAACCUCCCUCAUUGUCUGUGGGUCAUAAAGUGUACCUGCUC
Long non-coding RNA from Talpa occidentalis (Iberian mole), 181 nucleotides. RefSeq lists it as uncharacterized. The transcript has 3 exons. NCBI's taxonomy places the organism in Eukaryota, Metazoa, Chordata, Mammalia, Eulipotyphla, Talpidae. The record is from RefSeq and is a predicted model, not a curated record.